AAUAUGAAAGAAAUUAACACUACAACAAAUAUGGACAUUAAUAGCAGACAAGAAUAGCUCAUUUACCGUACCUGAUAUAAAAGAUGUGAUUUUUUUCGGUUACUUUAUAAUAACACCUAAAAACGCUAUGAUAGAAAAAUUAUGGAGUGGGAAACAAAAGUGACUUAGUCCGCCAAUACUUAGUGAAUUAUUAUUUCAAUAAAAA
Molecule: small RNA, 205 nt
Filed under: Arabidopsis thaliana (thale cress)
Lineage: Eukaryota; Viridiplantae; Streptophyta; Magnoliopsida; Brassicales; Brassicaceae
Description: ATSL081370
Source: RNAcentral